This 61-nucleotide ribosomal RNA is filed under the name Clostridiales bacterium. RNAcentral's name for it is "partial 23S ribosomal RNA". Lineage: Bacteria; Bacillati; Bacillota; Clostridia; Eubacteriales. The record is from RNAcentral.
GAGGUGGAAGCUCAGUAAUGUUGUGCAGCUUACCGAUACUAAUUGACCGAGGGCUUGAACU